RNAcentral lists this ribosomal RNA (119 nucleotides) under Thermofilum sp. The record is from RNAcentral. Lineage: Archaea; Thermoproteati; Thermoproteota; Thermoprotei; Thermofilales; Thermofilaceae.
CGAGCCGGCCAUAGGAUGGCCGGAAACGCCCGGUCUCGUCAGAUCCCGGAAGCUAAGCGGCCAUCCGCCGUGGGGAGUACUGGGGUCUGCGGCCCCGGGAAACCCCGGUGCCGGCUACG